UACGUAGGGGGCUAGCGUUGUCCGGAAUCACUGGGCGUAAAGCGCGUGUAGGCGGUCCGGUAAGUCCGCUGUGAAAGUCGGGGGCUCAACCCUCGGAUGCCGGUGGAUACUGUCGGGCUUGAGUCCGGAAGAGGCGAGUGGAAUUCCUGGUGUAGCGGUGAAAUGCGCAGAUAUCAGGAGGAACACCAAUGGCGAAGGCAGCUCGCUGGGACGUGACUGACGCUGAGACGCGAAAGCGUGGGGAGCAAACAGG
This 253-nucleotide ribosomal RNA is filed under the name uncultured bacterium. RNAcentral describes it as "partial 16S ribosomal RNA". It matches the Rfam family "Bacterial small subunit ribosomal RNA", at positions 524 to 776 of the family's 1533-position model. The record is from RNAcentral.